AAUGAACGCUGGCGGCGUGCGUAACACAUGCAAGUCGAACGAGAAAUUCCGGGCUUGCUCGGGAGAGUAAAGUGGCGGACGGGUGAGUAACGCGUAAGUAAUCUACCCCUGUAUUCGGAAUACCCCACCGAAAGGUGAGCUAAUACCGGAUACGUUUAUCUUGAUGCGAAUGAUGAUAAAGAAAGGUGGCCUCUUCUUGAAAGCUACUGUACAGGGACGAGCUUGCGUACCAUUAGCUAGUUGGUAGGGUAAUGGCCUACCAAGGCGACGAUGGUUAGCGGGUCUGAGAGGAUGAUCCGCCACACUGGAACUGGAACACGGACCAGACUCCUACGGGAGGCAG
RNAcentral lists this ribosomal RNA (343 nucleotides) under uncultured Pseudomonadota bacterium. RNAcentral describes it as "bacterial SSU rRNA". It matches the Rfam family "Bacterial small subunit ribosomal RNA", at positions 29 to 351 of the family's 1533-position model. Lineage: Bacteria; Pseudomonadati; Pseudomonadota. The record is from RNAcentral.